This 388-nucleotide ribosomal RNA is filed under the name uncultured bacterium. RNAcentral's name for it is "bacterial SSU rRNA". It matches the Rfam family "Bacterial small subunit ribosomal RNA", at positions 28 to 417 of the family's 1533-position model. The record is from RNAcentral.
GACGAACGCUGGCGGCGUGCUUAACACAUGCAAGUCGAGCGGUAAGGCCCUUUCGGGGGUACACGAGCGGCGAACGGGUGAGUAACACGUGGGUGACCUGCCCUCAGCUCUGGGAUAAGCCUGGGAAACCGGGUCUAAUACUGGAUAUGACUCCAUGACGCAUGUUGUGGGGUGGAAAGCCUUGUGCGGCUGAGGAUGGGCCCGCGGCCUAUCAGCUUGUUGGUGGGGUGANGGCCUACCAGGGCGACGACGGGUAGCCGGCCUGAGAGGGCGACCGGCCACACUGGGACUGAGACACGGCCCAGACUCCUACGGGAGGCAGCAGUGGGGAAUCUUGCGCAAUGGGCGAAAGCCUGACGCAGCGACGCCGCGUGAGGGAUGACGGCCU